This 88-nucleotide transfer RNA is filed under the name Aquifex aeolicus. RNAcentral's name for it is "tRNA-Leu". It matches the Rfam family "tRNA". Rfam says of the family: Transfer RNA (tRNA) molecules are approximately 80 nucleotides in length. Their secondary structure includes four short double-helical elements and three loops (D, anti-codon, and T loops). The record is from RNAcentral. Lineage: Bacteria; Pseudomonadati; Aquificota; Aquificia; Aquificales; Aquificaceae.
GCCGGAGUGGCGGAACUGGCAGACGCGCCGUCUUGAGGGGACGGUGCCCUUCACGGGCGUGCGGGUUCGACUCCCGCCUCCGGCACCA